This 273-nucleotide ribosomal RNA is filed under the name uncultured bacterium. RNAcentral's name for it is "partial 16S ribosomal RNA". It matches the Rfam family "Bacterial small subunit ribosomal RNA", at positions 524 to 796 of the family's 1533-position model. The record is from RNAcentral.
UACGGAGGGUGAAAUCUUUACUCGGAAUUACUGGGCGUAAAGCGCGCGUAGGUGGUUUGUUAAGUUGGAUGUGAAAGCCCCGGGCUCAACCUGGGAACUGCAUCCAAAACUGGCAAGCUAGAGUAUGGCAGAGGGUGGUGGAAUUUCCUGUGUAGCGGUGAAAUGCGUAGAUAUAGGAAGGAACACCAGUGGCGAAGGCGACCACCUGGGCUAAUACUGACACUGAGGGGCGAAAGCGUGGGGAGCAAACAGGAUUAGAUACCACGGUAGUCC